UAAUACGGAGGGUGCAAGCGUUAUCCGGAUUCACUGGGUUUAAAGGGUGCGUAGGCGGCCGAAUAAGUCAGUGGUGAAAGCCCGCAGCUUAACUGCGGAACUGCCAUUGAAACUGCUCGGCUUGAGUACUAUUGAAGUGGGUGGAAUGCAUCAUGUAGCGGUGAAAUGCUUAGAUAUGAUGCAGAACCCCGAUUGCGAAGGCAGCUCACUAAAUAGUAACUGACGCUGAGGCACGAAAGCGUGGGUAGCGAACAGGAUUAGAUACCCUGGUAGUCCACGCCCUAAACGAUGAAUACUCGAUGUAUGCCAUAAUUGAGUGGUAUGCGUCCAAGCGAAAGCGUUAAGUAUUCCACCUGGGGAGUACGGUCGCAAGAUUA
This 377-nucleotide ribosomal RNA is filed under the name uncultured bacterium. RNAcentral's name for it is "bacterial SSU rRNA". It matches the Rfam family "Bacterial small subunit ribosomal RNA", at positions 521 to 896 of the family's 1533-position model. The record is from RNAcentral.